AAACCUCUCAGUGCCAUUAGUGGUAUCGGAGGAACCAUUAGUUGCAAUUGGGAGUUCUCGAUGAGUAAAUUGCCUCCGUUCAAUGCCAUUAUAAGCUUCUAAACUGACAAGAGGCUUCGGUUUCUGAGAUUCAUUGGGCUCAACAUUAUGAGAUCCAUUAACUUCUGAACUGACAAGAGGCUUCGGCUCCAGAGAUCCAUUGGACUCAACAUUAUGAGCUCCAUUAGGCUCAAAAUUAUGAGAUUCAUUAGCUUCUGAACUGACAUGGGGCUUUAGUUUCUG
This 282-nucleotide unclassified non-coding RNA is filed under the name Hevea brasiliensis (rubber tree). Lineage: Eukaryota; Viridiplantae; Streptophyta; Magnoliopsida; Malpighiales; Euphorbiaceae. The record is from RNAcentral.